Nicotiana attenuata is the source of this 693-nucleotide long non-coding RNA. RefSeq lists it as uncharacterized. The record is from RefSeq and is a predicted model, not a curated record. Lineage: Eukaryota; Viridiplantae; Streptophyta; Magnoliopsida; Solanales; Solanaceae. The transcript is spliced from 2 exons.
GCAAACAGUGGGAAAUUUUCUACGCAGUUGUAUUUAAAUCGCUUAUUCCUUUCUUUUUAUUUUGCCUAUCUCCAGCCCCCUUUCAGAACCCUCCCCCUUUGAAACCCUAAAUUCUUCGAGACAACAUCCAUCAUUCUCUGUUCAUCUUGCUCGAAAGGUGCCAUGCUAUUUAUGUCAUAUUUUACAGAAUCAUAGGUGAUGGCAACCUCCACCUCCGUGCUCUUCUCUCGCCUCAUUAGGAGACCCCUUCCAAACCUCUGUGAACAAAUUCAAAUCGAACUGAAAUCGAAUAUGCAGUCAAUGUCUUCUUCACCUUCAAGACAUUCGAAGUUCGUAGUCUAGUGACCUUGCCAGAAGGAGAAGCCAGAGUUCAAGUCAAUGUAAUCGUUAUUGGAGACAACACUUUUGAAGGAUGUGAGCUACUAUAGUGUGGGUGAAUACUUGGCGUGGUGAUAUACUGAUACCAAAGCUUCUUCGUCAAAGAACACGGAUACUAAAGCUUCAAAUUGUAUAGGCUAUUUUGGAGAUGUUAACAAAGAGAAAAGUUACAAUUAUGUAUAUAUUGUACUGGACUAUUGUUUAAUUUAUUUAAAUUAUCUGUGGUGUAUGUCACUUGAAACUUUUGACAUGAAUGUGAAUGUUUGCGGUAUUGCGAAGAGCAAAUAAAUAUAAUUGUUUUUUUUUCUUCUUCUC